Molecule: long non-coding RNA, 689 nt
Filed under: Homo sapiens (human)
Lineage: Eukaryota; Metazoa; Chordata; Mammalia; Primates; Hominidae
Description: non-protein coding lnc-TMEM161B-9:3
Source: RNAcentral
GCAGAGCCGGAAGACCCUCUCUUUCGCUGUUUGAGAGUCUCUCGGCUCAAGGACCGGGAGGUAAGAGGUUUGGGACUGCCCCGGCAACUCCAGGGUGUCUGGUCCACGACCUAUCCUAGGCGCCAUGGGUGUGAUAGGUAUACAGCUGGUUGUUACCAUGGUGAUGGCCAGUGUCAUGCAGAAGAUUAUACCUCACUAUUCUCUUGCUCGAUGGCUACUCUGUAAUGGCAGUUUGAGGUGGUAUCAACAUCCUACAGAAGAAGAAUUAAGAAUUCUUGCAGGGAAACAACAAAAAGGGAAAACCAAAAAAGAUAGGAAAUAUAAUGGUCACAUUGAAAGUAAGCCAUUAACCAUUCCAAAGGAUAUUGACCUUCAUCUAGAAACAAAGUCAGUUACAGAAGUGGAUACUUUAGGUUGGAGUGCCAUGGUGUGAACUCAGCUCACUGCAACCUCUGCCUCCCAGGUUCAAGCUAUUCUCCUGCCUCGGCCUCCCAAGUAGCUGGGACUACAGGCACCUGCCACAAUGCCCGGCUAAUUUUUGUACUUUUAGUAGAAGCGGGAUAGUCUUGAACUCCUGACCUCAGCAUUGCAUUACUUUCCAGAAUACCAGUGGCUGGUGGAUUUCACAGUGGCUGCUACAGUUGUGUAUCUAGUAACUGAAGUCUACUACAAUUUUAUGAAGCCUACAC